ACAAUUAGAGGUUAGAAUAAUAACUUGUUAGUACAUACAUACUUGUUUCUCUGAAAUACUUGCUUAAUUUGGAUGUUGAACGAUCUACAGCUUUCGUGUUAACAACCGCUGGUCGUUUGUUCCAGCAAAUGAUGAUGUAAAGGCCUGCAAGGAAGUGGUGGUGCAGGCAGCUGCCAAGAAAUGAUGCUACAAACACACGUGACAGACUCAUGUUGCAAGGACGAGAUGGUGUUGCAAAGGCGGGCGAAAGAAGGGUUUUGCAACAACAGACGAAGUGGCGUUGCAAGGACGGCUGGUAAAACAGUAUUGCUGCCCAAACUUCCUAAACCCACACGUGUCUCACCUUCACCUGCUGGCAUUGCGAUAUAAGGAAAACUUUACCCUUCUGGGGACCUUAUCAGACUUAUCAACGCUCGCUGUGCUCCUCGAGAUCUCCCUUUGAGGCCUCGGGGAAGUGGUUGGAAAAAGGGAGAAAAACGAUCGAGGGAUAGAUAUAAAAAAAAGAGUGGGGAGGAGGAGAGGACGUGAUGCAAUUUAGCGUGUAGGACAAAAAGGGCUGAGUUCAAGGGAUGAGGUGGGCAAGGCUGGAUAUCUGAUUCCUAGCGCCACCGCACCGCCCACCACCGGGACCCAAGACUCCCCCACCUGCGGGCUGGUGCCCGCUUUGUGUAUUAUGUGAUGAAGGACACGUGGACCUGUGGAUUGUGUUUAUGUCAGUGUUGGGUCGCCCUCAAUGGGUCUCAAGUGAGGAGGAGGAUCUGUGCAGCCUCUCAGGACUCCUGCUGGGGGAAAUUGCUCUGCUCGAGGGAUCACGGUAAUGUCACAGAGAGCAAGUAGAAGAAAACCUGGGAGACUUGCUUAACUCAGGAACAAGAGCUGCACCUCACCGGAGCUCUGCAAUGUGUGGCAGUGACUGCAGGAAUCAACACUCGGGUUUGUCAGCACACAGUCACAGCGACCUUGUUCAUCAGACUGUUGGUGAAAGAUUCCACAGACCGACUGGGAGACACACAAUGUCAGUGCCACCGCACAGGGAGUGAGGCCCAAGAGGAGGAAGAGGAGCAUUCAAGAGACAUCAGCUGGCCAGCAGUCCAUUCAGGAGUGGAUGGCAGGAGUCAGAGAGAGAGAGAAAUAGGGGUGUGUGUGUGUGUGUGUGUGUGUGUGUGUGUGUGUGUGUGUGUGUGUGUGUGUGUGUGUGUGUGUGUGUUGCAAAGACAGAACCUUAGAAUGUUCCUAUUAAGUGUUAUUACUACUACUACUAUUGUUGCUACUUUGAACUAGUACUUCCACAACCACUAUAUACCACCACUACCACCACCACCACCGCAACCACAACUACUACUACUACUACUACUACUACUACUACUACUACUACUACUACUACUACUACUACUACUACUAAUAAUAAUAAUAAUAAUAAUAAUAAUAAUAAUAAUAAUGCUGUGACCAGCCAGGAGGAAGUGCCUGUAAAGAAAUUUUUUUUAAAUAAUAUACCAAUGAAUGGAAAAUAUUUAUAAUAGUUUACGAUUAUUAUUAUUUUAUUAUUAUUAUUAUUAUUAUUAUUAUUAAUUAUUAUUAUUAUAUUAUUUAUGUAUAUUUUUAGUCUUGUAACAAAAAAUGAAAUAAUAAAAAAAGUUAACUUGUAUUAUUAAAAAAAGUUAACUUGUAUUAUUACCACAAUAUAAAAAUAUAUAUUAUAUAUUUAUUAAUUUAUUUAAUGAACAAUUUCUAAUUUUAUUUUUGGCUUAUAAUAUUAAUAUAAUGCAAUGGAAAUACUUUUAAUACUUUCACAGUGAAUCACAUUAUUUCUGUCAAUUUUUGCAUCUUUCAGGAGUGGAUGGCAGGAGUCAGUAAUCAAUAGUAUCUGGCCAGGCAUAUGUUGCAC
Molecule: long non-coding RNA, 1885 nt
Organism: Scylla paramamosain (green mud crab)
Lineage: Eukaryota; Metazoa; Arthropoda; Malacostraca; Decapoda; Portunidae
Exons: 5
Source: RefSeq, a predicted model, not a curated record